Ribosomal RNA from Ordospora pajunii, 2360 nucleotides. NCBI's taxonomy places the organism in Eukaryota, Fungi, Microsporidia, Ordosporidae. The record is from RefSeq and is a predicted model, not a curated record.
AGCACGCACACGGGAUUGCUUGGCACACAGGACGAGGAAGGACGUGAGAGAAGACGAAACGCAAGGUGUCUGAAUUGCACGGGAGUGCGGAGACCCCCUUGACUUAAGCAUAUCAGUAAGGGGAGGAGAAGAAACCAAAUGGGAUGUCCUGAGUAGCGGCGAGUGAAGUGGACGGAGGCUGUGUGGUAACUGCGGAAGCGGGUUGUGUGAUGCUGAACGGGCAGAAGGCGGUAGGAAUGCCGACGACGGAGAGGGGGAGAGCCCUGUAUGCGCGGGAGCGAGUGGCGAGGAGUAGGGCUGCUUGGGAGUGCAGUCUGAAAGCGGUGGUGGUUUCCAUCGAAGGCUAAAUAUGUGAAGUGUGACCGAUAGAGGAGAAGUAGGGAGACCGAAGGCAGAAGAGGCGAAGGAUGAAGAAUGAAAGUGUGCGUGAGUGGGGAGAAGCCCGCCCGUCUUGAAACACGGACCAAGGAGACGACGCGUGCAUUGUGUGGCGAGAGCUGAUGGAUGUAUGGGUCGGACCCGAAAGGCAGUGAGCUAUGUGUGUCUGGAUUGAAGGGUGGCGAAAGCCUGCUGGAGGAUCCUAGUUGUUCUGACGUGCAACUCGAUGAUGUGAGAUGUGCAUAGCGGCGAAAGACCAAUCGAACUGCCUGGUAGCUGGUUCCCCCUGAAAUGUCUCUAAGGACAGCGGCGACGGGAGUGUGCGAUGCAGUAAAGCGACCGGGUGUAAGGGAGACGAACUCUGAAUGUGUUGUUGAAGAGGGUUGCUAGUGGGCACACGGUGGUAAGCAUGGUGUGCGAGGAGGAAUGAACCUUGAUGAGCGAUAAGGGGCCUAAGUGGGCGUGGCGGAACUGUUUGCGCCGGUUGAGACAGUUGGACGGUGGCCAUGGAGGUAGGCAUCCGCUAAGAAACGUGUUACGACGUACCGACCGAACUGGCGGGAUGGGAAAAUGGAAGGGAUGGUAGCCUGAGCCGAUGCGGUUGCGCUUGUGGGUGAGUAAGGGGGCGGCAUGAUUUCUGAGAAGCGUGUGCGUGAGUGUGCGUGGAGGGGUGAUGUGAGCGGAUCUUGGUGGUAGUAGCAGGAAGAGAAUAGUGCGGAUGGACGAGGGUUUCUGCUGAAGCGGAGUGAAACGGCGGUUGAGACGGAGAUUGAUUGAGAGUUUGAUGUAUGUGUGCUGGGAGGUGACUUGGUGGUGACGGAUGGAAGGAGCUCUGGCGCAGGAGGACAGAACUGAGUGAUGGGCACGGUGUGGAGUGUUGAGCAGGGAAGCAGUGUGUGUGGAGUGUGGAAGUCCCGAUGAAAAAGCAGCAGGCAUGCCGUACCUAGACCGCAGCAGGUGUCCAUGGCGAGCAGCAAGAGCACGGUAGAGAACGGUUGUAAGGGAAGUCGGCAAGGAGGAUGUGUAACUUUGGGAGAAGGAUUGGCUCUAGCAUGCUAGAACUGAUGGAGAAGCGGGGAAUCUGACUGUUUAGUAAAAACAUAGCUUUCUGGAGACGGUAAGUGAAUUCUGCCCAGUGCAUUUGUAGUGAAUUGUGUGUAAGCGGAAGCGAGUGUAAACGGCGGGAGUAACUAUGACUCUCUUAAGGUAGCCAAAUGCCUCGUCAUCUAAUUAGUGACGCGCAUGAAUGGAGCAACGGGAUUCCCACUGUCCCUAUGACUGGCGCUGCGAACCCACGGCCAAGGGAACGGGCUUGGCGGAUACAGCGGGGAAAGAAGACCCUGUUGAGCUUGACUCUAGUAUGUGUGAAGCGACGGACGGCGCGACGAAGAGAGGUGGGGAGCGGGUGCAAGACCACUGUUGAGCUUGUGCGGCGGUUUGAGGGUGCAUAUGGGGAGUUUGGCUGGGGCGGCACGACUGCUAUAGACGAACGCAGACGUCCUAAGGUGGGAUCAGCGGGGAGGGAAACCACGCGUGGAGUACAAGGGCAGAAGCCUGCCUGAGGCUGUCCCUUGCGAGGGAUGGCUGGGGGAAACCCGGGCCUAGAGAUCCCGUGUCCUGUGGAGUGGUGGGACACGGGUGACGGAAAAGUUACCACAGGGAUAACUGGCUUGUAGCGGCCGAGCGACCAUAGCGACGCAGCUUUUUGAUUCUUCGAUGUCGGCUCUUCCUAUCAUCGUGAAGCAGGAAUUACGAAGUGUUGGAUUGUUCACCCACCAACAGGGAACGUGAGCUGGGUUUAGACCGUCGUGAGACAGGUUAGUUUUACCCUACUGUGUGGUAGUUGCAGCAGGGCGGGAUAGUACGAGAGGAACUCCUGGCCGCGACCUCUGGUGGAGCGGUCUGCCUGUAGGCGGCUGCGUGGCUACGUCGUGCGUAUAACGGCUGAAGGCCUCUAAGCCGGAAGACGGACUGUGACUAGU